AGCGAACGCUGGCGGUAGGCCUAACACAUGCAAGUCGAACGGCAGCACAGUAAGAGCUUGCUCUUACGGGUGGCGAGUGGCGGACGGGUGAGGUAUACAUCGGAAUCUACUUUUUCGUGGGGGAUAACGUAGGGAAACUUACGCUAAUACCGCAUACGACCUACGGGUGAAAGCAGGGGAUCUUCGGACCUUGCGCGAUUGAAUGAGCCGAUGUCGGCUUAGCUAGUUGGCGGGGUAAUGGCCCACCAAGGCGACAAUCCGUAGCUGGUCUGAGAGGAUGAUCAGCCACACUGGAACUGAGACACGGUCCAGACUCCUACGGGAGGCAGCAGUGGGGAAUAUUGGUCAAUGGGCGCAAGCCUGAUCCAGCCAUACCGCGUGGGUGAAGAAGGCCUUCGGGUUGUAAAGCCCUUUUGUUGGGAAAGAAAAGCAGCAGGUUAAUACCCCGCUGUUCUGACGGUACCCAAAGAAUAAGCACCGGCUAACUUCGUG
This 492-nucleotide ribosomal RNA is filed under the name uncultured bacterium. RNAcentral describes it as "partial 16S ribosomal RNA". It matches the Rfam family "Bacterial small subunit ribosomal RNA", at positions 29 to 507 of the family's 1533-position model. The record is from RNAcentral.